This 76-nucleotide transfer RNA is filed under the name Bacillota bacterium. Its description in RNAcentral is "tRNA-Ile". It matches the Rfam family "tRNA". From Rfam's summary of the family: Transfer RNA (tRNA) molecules are approximately 80 nucleotides in length. RNAcentral also lists the same sequence under 1 other name. The record is from RNAcentral. Lineage: Bacteria; Bacillati; Bacillota.
GGGCCCGUAGCUCAAUUGGCAGAGCAUCCGCCUCAUAAGCGGCUGGUUGGGGGAUCGUGCCCCUCCGGGCCCACCA